Long non-coding RNA from Acinonyx jubatus (cheetah), 18114 nucleotides. RefSeq lists it as uncharacterized. NCBI's taxonomy places the organism in Eukaryota, Metazoa, Chordata, Mammalia, Carnivora, Felidae. The record is from RefSeq and is a predicted model, not a curated record. The transcript is spliced from 3 exons.
CACCAUCUCCCUCUUUCUCUCUCCCUCUCCCCUGCUGGCACACUCUUUCUCUAAUAAAAAAAUAAUAAUAAAACACUAAAAGAUUAGGUUUCCAUAUGCAGUGUAAGGGUAUUUGAUUUGUAGACUCUCCUUCAGUUGUCAGCCCUGAUCAGGAUAAUGCAGCGGGCAAGUUGAAUGUCUAUGGUAAAGUAACGUAACUGGAUACUAAGAAAUCGUUUCAAGGGGCAGAUUGUAGAUCCCUGGCUCUAGUUUGUCCUGGUUAGCACUUUGACAGUGACUUGAUUAUCACAUUGCCAGAGGACAUGGAAGCUGCAGGGAUGGUGUACGUGGAAAAACGGGACGCAAAGCCAGUGGGUUUAAUCUUGUAAGAUAAUGUUUAAAAGCACACGUAUUUACAGUUCUGUAAUGAGAUCCACCAAAUAAUCAGGCUCUAGAGUUUAGGUAGGAAAAAAAAUGAUGAGUUUAGUCAACUGUAAGUCAUAUGAGAGAGAACGUCUAAAAACCCAUUGAGGGGCUCUUGGGUGGUUCAUUUGGUUGGGCAUCCAGCUCUUGAUUUCGGCUUAGGUCAUGAUCUUGCUCCUCGUGAGUUCGAGCCCUGCAUUGGGGUCUGUGCUGGCAGUGCGGAGCCUGCUUGAGAUAUGCCCUCUCUCUCUCUCCCCCUCCCCUGCUCACUCGCUCUCUCAAAGUGAGUAAAUAAACUUAAAAAAAAAACCUCAUUGAGAUUUCACGCUGCAGUGAUAAAAUUUCACUCAACAAACAUCUAAUGAAGGGCUACUAUAUGCAAAGAACAUAUAUCCGUAAAGAGUACACAUUUGGACGCUGUGAUCUCAGGACUGGAUUUUUAAUAGAAUCAAUAGAAAUGAAAUGAAUUUCACAGUUGAAUGCUGCACUCCAACUGUGACAAGUGCCAGGAGGGAAAAGUACAGGGUGCCACACGUACACAUAACAAGGGGACCUGAGCUCACGUCAGGGUCUGGGGAGGCCUCCUUGAAGAAAUGACUUUCACUGAGAAAGAUGAUGGGAAUUAACCAGGUAAAAGAAUCUUCCAGGUAGAGGAGGCAGCAUUUAUGAAGGUCUUCAGCCAAAAGUGAGGCUGCAGACGGCAAAGACAAGACACGCCAGGACUGAGUCUCGAAGGAAUUCAGUUCAACUGGAAAGUCCUGAGAUAACUGGACGACUCAUACGAGGUGGAAUGUGGUCAGUGCUGUGAAAGAUCUCAGAAUAAAGUUUUGCAGAUCAUAGGAGAUCUUUCUGUUUGCCCGGGAAUUAGGUAAAAAUUCACCAAGAUGAGCUUUCGUUUGUUUUUUUUUAUUUUCGAGAGAGCGUGCACACGUGUGAGCAAGGGAGAGUGAGUGGGGGGGAGAGAGAACCUCAAGCAGGCUCCACAUUCAACGCAGAGCCCAACAUGGGGCUCAGUCCCAUGACUAUGGGAUCAUGACCUGCGCUGAUAUCAAGAGUGAGAUGCUCAACCAACCGAGCUACCCAGGUGCCCCUCGUUUAGGUCUUUAAAGAAAGAUGUGGUUCUGGUGGGCAGGGUUAGGGUAUCCUCCAGAGGCAAAGACCGGUUAGAGGAGGAUAAGAAGAGUUAAACAGGGAGGAAGAGUCUCGGUAUGGUGUGGGAUCGUGGGAAUUGAAGAGAAGUUUACAACGAGAGAUGGGUCAUCAUUUGGGAUGAUUUGACAGUGUUCAGGUAGGAUGAGAACUGAGCUCCAUCCACCGUAUUCACCCAACUGGAAAUUACUGGUAAACUUAGCAUGAGUGGACUGAGCUGUGAGUAAAAAGUGAGGAAAUGGAGCCCACAGGUAGGGAGCGGCCCAGAACGCCUCGAAAACUCAACGCUGUAGGCUUCCGGUGACCGGAUCCUUGUGAUGUUCCUUUUUUUUUUUAAUUUUUGGAAUGAAGCACAGAGCAAUAGUCAUGCAGUAUAAGUCCUACAAAACUUAAUUUCAGUUGGAUGAAUGAAUAUUUGGGGAAAGAAAGGUUAAUUAUACUAGAAAUAGGACAAGACUUUGGGGAAAAAGACUUACUAUCACACUUUGUCUCUAGCAAAUUACUAACUUUGUGACCUUGGGCAAGUCAUUUAACCACUUGGAGCCCUACUUUCCUUACUUAUAAAAUGAGGAUAAUGAUAAUUGAUCUAAUUUCCCUAAAGAGUUGGUGAGCAUGCAAAAGUAAGAAACUUUCCAUGAAUGUGUGGGGUCCUUAUCUAAUAAAAGAUACUUUAGUAUUCGAAGGAUUUGAAGCUAUGUCAUGGACUGAGGAGGUGGUCAGAUCAUUGCCUCCUCUUCCUGGACUACAUUUCCCAGGGACCCUUGCACUGGACUAGCCCUGUGUUUGUGUGUGAGCAGUGACGUGUGACCAGAGGGGUUAUGUGCCGCUUCCGGGACCGGGUCAUUGAAGCCUCCCCAAAGGGCCCCUACAUGCUCCUGCUGCUUUUAAUGGUUUCCUGCAGAUGGGGGAUGGGGUAAGAACUUGUAAGUUCCUACUACCAACUUGGAAGACAAUUUGGUGUUUGUGUCAAAAUUUGAACAUUCUCCUAUCCCACAGUCCUGCUAUUGUAGUCCCAGGUAUAUUAGCUCUAGAGAAAGUUGGAAAUGUGCUCUUACGAGACAUUUUUUUAAAUGUUUAUUUAUUUUUGAGAGAGAGAAACAGAGUGUGAGCAGGGGAGAGGCAGAGAGAGAGGGAGACACAGAAUCUGAAGCAGGCUCCAGGCUCUGAGCUGUCAGCACAGAACGCGACGCGGGGCUCGAACACACGGACCAUGAGGUCAUGACCUGAGCCGAAGUCGGACACUUAGCCAACCAAGCCACCCAGGUGCCCCUCUUAGGAGACAUUUUUGAGUGGGUUUGUUUGUAAUAACCCAAACUGAUGGCAAUCCCGAUGUCUUUCAAUAGGAAAUCCAAUGUCCAUGCCUAGAAGAAUGGAGAAAGCAAUUGAAAUUCACCAAGAUUAAUUAACACUAUGGGAACAAAUCACUAUACGUGACAUGACGUGAAUGGAAGUAAGAAGUAUAAUGAUAGGUGAAAAACACAAGUCACAAAGGAAAACGUGGCAAAAUUAUAAAAGACUGAAUAAGAUAAAAUGACGGGGCCAAGCAAUACACUUUUUAACACUGUAUGCAUCAGUGACUUUUUCAAAAGGAGGAAAGGAAUUGUAUAAAUAAUGCCAAAAAAAAAAAAAAUACUGCACACAACCACCAUGAAACUCAGUGACUGAAAGAAAGAAACACGUGGGCACCUGGGUGGCUCAGUUGGUUAAGCGUCUGACUUUGGCUUAUGUCAUGAUCUCACGGGUUGUGAGUUUGAGCCCCGCGUUGGGCUCUAUGCUGACAGCUCAGAGCCUGGAGCCUGCUUCGGGUUCUGUGUCUCCCCGUCUUUCUGCCCCUUUGCCUCUUGUUUGCUCACUUGCUCUCUCUCUCUCUCAAAAAUAAAUUAAAAAAACAUUUUUUUAAUAAAUAAAGAAUCAUGUAAUAUGUAUAUAGCUCACUGUCGGCUGUGUUCAUCUGACCUUGCCACUGCUCCGUUGACCUGACCUGGGCUUCCUCGUAUUUCCAUGGGGGCUACGGGUUUGCUGGGUGGUUCUGGUAAUCUUGGCUGACACCUGUUCUUGGCUCGGCUGUCGGCUGAUCUAGGAUGGCCAUGACCUAGGGCGACAUAGCUCUGCUUUGUGUGUCUGUCGCCAUCCAACUGGCUAGUCUGGUCCUGUUCUCAUGAUGGGGCCCAGAGGGAAGGAAUCAGUGAGAGCGAUCCUGCAAAGGGCCAACAGGAAUGUGUGUGCACUUUCCAAAGCUCCACUUCUGUUUCCUUUGCUUAUAUCCUAUUGGCAAAUGCCAGGCACAUUGCCAAGCGUAGCCUUAGAGCGGGAAGGGAUGACGUUCUAGGAUAGAGGCCAUAGGAGGACAUUAAUGAGGGCCGUGGAUGCAGUCAGCCUGGCAGAAGUGAUGACCCCUGUCAGGACGGCAAGGGGUGGGAAGGAGAGGAAAUGCAGCUGCCAGCUGAUUGGUGAUGUUCUAAUACCUACGUGAGGCAGUGGUUUUUUACUUUUCACUUUGUAAUUGUGCCUUGUCACAGGCAUGCAUAUAUUAUGUUUAUCCUUUUAAAAAAAAUUCAAUGUUUUCAUUUUUGAGAGAGAGAGCACGCAGGAGCAGGGGAAGGGCAGAGAGAGAGGGAGGCAGAGAAUCCAAAGCAGGCUCCAGGCUCUGAGCUGUCAGCACGGAGCCUGAUGCGGGGCUUGAGCUCGUGAACCGAAUGGAGACAUCAUGACCUGAGCAGAAGUUGGACGCUUAACCAACUGGGCCCCCCGGGCACCCCUAUGUUUAUUCCUUUGUAACCACCAAGUGCUAGACUUUUGAAUAUUCAAGGGAAAAGCUUUUGGGGAACUCCAGUGGCAAAUGAGGCCUCUAGGCCUCUGGAUUCUCGCUGUGCAAAAUGGGAUAUUAAUUGUGGCUUUUAACAGAAGAUUGUGACUUUGACAAAGAAAGCACGUAUCAAAUGAAAUUGAAGGACAAGCUUUGCCAAACUGGUGAGAAGAAUUCUUUUUUUUCUAGAGACCUCAGAUCAGAUUUCGGCAUUGUAGAAAAUUCAUUCAUUCUGCUCUGUUCUGCUCUCUUUUAUGCUGUUUGUUUUAUUCCUGGAACAAAGAUCCCACAGCUUGUCUUCGAAAGACUUCCAUCGCUUCUCAAUUGGACGCAGAUCUCAGACCUCCAGGGUUUGAUUCAUUCAUCUCGAGCUGGAACUCUGUUUUUUCACCCCGGUCCAGAAGACUGGGAGAUUCACUUUAAAAAGAUGCUGCCGCUGCUUUUUUCCACAUCACAAAAGAAUUAAUGUUUGUGCAGCCCUUUGAAGAUGUGGUGUCACGCAUGUGCUAUUAUUAAUAAUAAACUACAGAUCUGCUUCACACCAUCUGAAAAACAGGGCUGUGCCACCAUGAAAGGGCUCUUAUUUCAGCUCGUUCUCCAUUGUGCUUUGCCCGGGUCCCGCUCUGCUUCAGUCUGGGGCUGCUUCCAGAACAUGGGUAAAGAAAGACAGCAGCUGGAGGGAAACAAAACAACCUCUACCACCCAACACAUUAAAAAAAACAACUGAAGUAAAAGAGGUUUGUUUUUUAAGUUUAUUUAUGUCGAGAGAGAGUGAGCAUGGGAAGGGAGAGAGAGAAGGAGAGAGAAAGAGAAUCCCAAGGAGGGUCCUCACUGUCAACGCAGAGCCCGAUGUGGGGGCUCGAACUCACAGACCGCAAGAUCCUGACCUGAGCCGAAACCAAGCGUCAGAUGGUUAACCGACGGAGCCACCCAGGUGCCCCUAAAAGAGGCUUUUAUAACCAUUAGAGGUCAGUGCCACCUGCUAUGAGCCUUUUGGCCGGAACGUGGGUUUGGGACACAGUACCUGCUGAAGGUAGGGACAAACGGAGCGUGUCUGAUUCUGAGCGCAUUCUGGGGGAGGACAAACAUUCUCAGGGCUCGCCAGCCUGCACAGCCAGGAAAGAAGGCACUGAUCACAGCCUGCUGUCUGUCUCUCCUUUUCAGGGAGUUGUUCUUUCCCCCCUUUUCUGAAACCACUCCUGUCAUUCCUCCGGUAGCUUUGUGUAAUCUACAAGCUACCUUUCCAUGGUGGAGUUUGGGGAGAUGGGUGUAAAAUGAGGCCACUGUAAAUACCAGCGCAGUAAAGCCUUGAGGACAGGUUUCACUUGGAGAGGCGAGAACACACACACGGGGCUGAAAUGCGAAGGGUGGUUUCCGUGGGCUCCACGGACCGCGGGGACACCCACUGACCGGCCUGAGGAGGGAGAGGCACGUUUGAGAGCUGGGUCUGUUCUGUUUUUGAAAAAAACAAAAACAAAAAAACUUUACACCUGCCUUUGGUGGCGAUUUUCAACUCACCCUGCCGGUUUCAGCCUCCCGUGGGCCCGGCUUCUUUUGGGAGCUGCGUAUUCAAAAUGGACUUCUGCCUCGUUUCUGAAUUACAGCGGCUGGCAGACGGGGAAAGGAUGGAUCUCUGCUCCGUUUCGGGCCCAACGCUGAAGGUGUAAUACAUGAACAAUGGAGCUGGGGAGAGAGAGACGGAGCAAGCAAAAAGAGGCAAAAAUACAAAACUCAAGGAAAUCAAGAUCACGCUGUGCAAAAUUGUUACAGCUGUUUCUGUUUUUAUUGGCUGUUUCUUUUGGCUUCGCUUUUUCAGCAACUGCCGUUCAGAUGGGCAGGGAGGCAUACGGUGUGGCCCAGCUCCGCGCUGGGAGGACCGUGGAUGGAGCAGGGAAGGAGGGGAGGGGCAGGCGCUGGGGGAGGAGGUUCUGAAUUUCGUAUAGCCCUUGGAAGAGCUACACAUCAAAGCAUUUUUUUUUUUUUUUGAUAGUUUGGUGGAAGCCUUAGCAAUAGAAUUCAGAUGCACUUAAUGGAAGGCUCUUAAAAGCAUCCCAUCUCCCUGGCUGCAUCAGAUUAGCGGGCUGUUUAAGGCACUGCACCAGCCCUGGAAAUGACGUUCCGAUAUCUCGGAGGAAAUAAAGUGUCAGGACACAUCCUUUUUUCCCUCUCUCUCCCCGACUGUGAUUCACCUAGACCAUUGCACAGGGCUGAACAUAUGGAGAGUGCACAUUUUCCCUGGGGAGCUCUCUUUCUCCCGGUUACAAAUGGAAUGAGCUGUAUGCCUGCUCACUGACCCUAGGAGAAUAUUGGCAGCUGGGAUACAGCGCCUCAAGGCUUGGCGGAAAAUGCACACCCACCUUGAUUACCCUGCAUAGCAGCUGGAAGGUGAGCCAGGAAAAAAAGCAUGUGGAAAAGCCCACAAUUACCCUCUCACUCUCUUAAAACUUCCUAUUGAAUCGGUGAUUUAACUGACAUUUUUAAGGUUUAUAAAAUUGCUUACACUGAAGUUCUUGGAUUUGAUACUGUUCUUAACCACCCCUGUCCCCCCACCCCACUCCAGACACAACCACUCUUAACCAAAUUCAUUCUGCAAACCGUAAGGAAAGAUUAUUCUAAAAGCAAACACUGAGUCCCUAAAUGAAGGCAUGUGGGCAGUAGAACAGGGAGAUCAGGAAUAUAGCAAGGGGGAAAGCGUUUACUUCCGUUUGGCUUGUAGUUGGAGCAAAAGGGAAAGUUUAAUGAAAAGGCGAUUAAUGAAAAAUACCUAGAGCUGGUGAUACGUUGUUACACACUCUCGUGUUAAAAAAACGUCCAAUCCAGUGAGCCCCACUGUAGAAUGAAGGGCAGAUCCCAAGCCCAGGGACCAAACAUUGGUUCUGCUUUGAACUUACUUGACUUUUCUGGACUGGACCCCUGACUUGACCGCAGGAGGGCAAAUCGUUUACCUUUAUGCCUCAGUGUGCUCAUCCAACAAUGGAAGCUGCACUGGGGAGAUGGGUUGACGGAAGGUUGCAAAGCCCUUUGAGGCUCUAAAACCCCAGGUGAUUGUGAACAACAAAUCUAAUGUGAUUAGAUGUGCCUUGGUUUCUUGGUUGUGUCUUAGUCAUUUUUUUUUCAUGUUUACUUCUGAGAGAGAGAGAGAGCACAAGCCAGGGAGGGGCAGAGGGCGAGGGAGACACAGAAUCCGAAGCAGGCUCCAGGCUCCAAGCUGUCAGCACAGAGUAUGACGUGGGGCUCGGACCUGUGAACCAUGAGAUCAUGACCUGAGCUGAAGUCAGAGGCUCAACUCAACCGACUGAGCCACUCAGGCGCCCCUACAAUGAUAUAUUUUGAGAUGUGCCAUGCUUCUUUUGCAUUUUCUAAUUUCAUCUCUUCCUGCUUUGUUCUUAUGUGUUAAUCGUGGCUAACAGCAUGUCAUUAUUGCCAGAUAUUAAAUUUGUUUAAAAGUUUUCAGUUCUGGGAGAAUGUGGUCCAGGUAGAGUGAGGCAGGCUGUUUUUAUGAAAGGGGGCUCACUAACCUCCUUGAACAGGAAAUGGAGUGAUUUCCCAAAUUACAGAUGUCUAGGGAGAGCUCUUCUCCUCUUACAAAGAAGGAAACUGUUCCUUGUGAAGGAACAGUAGUAAAAAAAAUAACAGAUUUUGUUAUUUGUCGCUAAUACUUAAAAGGAUAUGGUAAGUUUGUUUGCACCUCAGCUCUUAGUGUAAGGGUGGGUGAAAUUCUUUUGCCCUGGGCUUUGGCCACAAAAUGCCAUUGGUUGAUGGGGCUUGACCAUACAUUCCCUCCUGAGAACCUUGUGAAAUUUAGAUGUAAGACUUUGAAACUGAAGCACUGAAUGUUCUUGUUUGCUCUCCGUGUUCAGCCUUAAACUUUUAUCUGUAGCCCUAGGAAACUCUGCAAAGGUCAAUCUUGUGAACAUGGACGUUGGUUAUACUUUUCGGGGUCAUUAUGAACAGCCUCGCUGGAAAAAACAGAUCUGUUUUCUUGAUUCACUUUUCUGUGCUUUAGAAUGAAAGUUAUUAUACUUCACAAUGUUAAAAAAAAAAAAGGCAUCUGGGGAGCCUGGGUGGCUCAGUCAGUUAAGCAUCCAACUUCAGCUCAGGUCAUGAUCUCUUGGUUCGUGAGUUCGGGCUCUGUGCUGACAGCUCAGAGCCUGAAACCUGCUUCGGAUUCUGUGUCCGCCCCCCUCCCCGCGCCCCCCCCCCCCUCAUGCUCUGUCUCUCAAAAAUGAAUAAACGUUAAUUUUUUUUUUUUUAAAGCAUCUGUUACAUGUUACUCCAAAUUUGAGAUACCAUUAGUCAGGAGCAUCUUUUACAAAUGAGGAGUCGAUUUUUGCAUUUUGAGGUUCAGCCAGGCACUCCCAUUAUUCGGCUAUACACCGAACCUCACUUGCAAAAACAUGUUUCUGCCAUUAUCCUUACAGAAGGCCGUGUGUUCACACACAUGCACAAUUAUGAGGCUGAACAUCCCUUCUUCUUUGGGUUACUCUUUGAUCUUUUAUUGUUUUGCUGCUGUGUCCAUAUGGAAAUGUUACCAACCAGCGGGCAAUUCCUUUUCCAUUAUGAUUCCUCGUCCAGAGUCUUCCCCCCUGUUGUUUCUUAUUUGUGUUGGGCUCCAGAUUGAUGCCAAUGUUUCAAAGGAGUACACCUCCUCGGGUUCAAAAGCUCAAUUUGCUUUAAGCAGCCAUCAAAGCUUACACUCAGAUUUAAGUACUUAUUUAUAGCCAGGUUUUUCUGACAUGCAGUGACAAUGUGGGCAUCUCCCAAGAAACAGUUUUCUUGUGAUACGGGGGGAGACCUUUGGGAUCGGGUAGGGAGGUCAUCAGCCCUGUCAGCAAGAAGCCUGUUUUCAGUUGGUGUUCCCUCUGCUGAUGUCCAUUUUGGUCCUUACCAAUUGGAAGUAUAUAUAAGACCCACAGGGGCAUGACCUCAUCCAAAGAAGAUCGAUUGAAAAUUUUCAAACCCUAAAAAAGCUCAGUUUGUGGAUGGUAGGUUUAUGUUCAUUCGUAAAAUUUCUUCCUGUCCAGAGUACCCAGUAAUGCUUGUCCUGGAAACCCCCCACUUUUUUAUACCGGAAAAUACCAAAGAUGUGAGAGCAUAGAGGUAUGUGUUUGCUAAGGGAACUUUUUUUUAAUAGCCUUCUGAAUCUCCUCCUUAGAAGAGAUUAAAUAAAGCCGGUGCCUUUCCACUUCCCAAGUCUAUCUCACACAUCAAACAAAUGAAAAUCCUUCCAAAACUCCUUUCCCUUCAUGCCCACACUCAAAUAUGCUGUUUUAUGUGGGUUGACCAAAGUCUUUUUCUGAUUUUCCUCCCCAUCUGUUCUUUGAAUAAACAUGCAUCCUAAAGGAGGACUUACAGGAUCAAAUUUGAUUCCUCUAUUUGGAAAUGUUUUCAAAAGACCAUGCCGCACUUGGCUAUUCGGUCAAAUUAGGUUCCGUUUGCCUCUAAUAGCAUUUAAUUACCUCCCACACGCUUCUCACACUCUUUCACUUCUUGGUCUGCAUGACUUAGCUCUUCUGAUGUCCGACAAAGUGUACCGGCUAUAUUGGCCGUCUGGAAUUGUGGAAACCAAAAUAACCGGAGACACAACCGGUUAGUUUUUAACUUUUCAGGUUGUUUUGUGGCCAAAGACACGGCAUCUCAAUUUCUUGCUUUUACAAGUGGAUUGCUAUACUCAUGGUGAUGAGGGAGCGUGGGGCAAGCUGAGGACAGAAUACAGGCUGGCACCCCGUCCCCUCCCCCAGGUGGAGUAUAUGUGACAGUCCCCGGAGACGCCUGGCUGCCCAAGAACCAAGGAAAGGGGUGUCAGUGCUGGCCAUGGUGAUGGGGGAAACUAAGGCAGAUGAAAAAUUAAAUUCCCUUACUGCCUUUAGCCCAUUGACAAGUCCUUGAAACAGGCAGUGACCUCCCUCUAGGAGCUCAGCUGCCUCAAUGAUGACACUCUCCUGGAUGCAAAAGAGAACUUUAGCUUAACAUUGAACCUCGAGCAUCCUGUAAGUGUACUUCCUUUAUCUCAACUGCAGUAAGAUAGACGCUGGCAAUCAUACUCGAAGCUUAUGGCCCCCCAGUAUGCAUCUGAAAGGUCUCAUGACUGAGAUUUUGUUAAACUGUAGUGAGUGGCAUUUCCCUAGUAACAGCUAGCCCCUCAAGGUCCUGGAAACCUUGCUUCCAAAAUACCUUAGAGACUCAGUCUAUCCCUCACCCCCUCCCAAUCUGAGGGUAUAUAGUGAGUUACCCGUCACAACCCCAUACAGCUCUUCCUGCCCACGGGUCCUGUCCCCGUGCUUUAAUAAAAUCCCCUUUUUGCACCAAAGACGUCUUCAAGAAUUCUUUUCUUGGCCCUCGGCCCUGGGCCAGCCCAAUAUCACCCUAAAACUUCAUCAAUAUGAUUUAAAAACUCACUUGAAUGGAAAGCAAUGUGCACUAAUAAAUCUCCGAGAGACGUCCAACCCAAAGUAUGAAGCAUCGAGGACAAGUUAUCUUACAGUUAUCCUCAAGGAGGGAUUUGGUUAUCCUGAUUAAUUUUUAUUUUUCUUUCUCCAGAUUAGAAAGGAGAGGAGGGUGGAGUGAAGGCCUUGUGUGGAAUGUCAUGUUCAGUUGUCAUUAUUUCCGGUUUACAACCUCUGCAUAGGCUGAGAUUAUGUCUGUUAAUCGGAGUUCAAUUUUAGUGGCAUCACAUACAAAGAUUAGUUAUCUUCAGUAUCCUAAUUCAGUUUAUUUUUAUUUAUUUUUUAAUCUCUACUCUUGAGAGAGAGAGAGAGACAGUGUGUGAGCCGGGGCAGGGAAGAGAGGGAGAGGGAGACACAGAAUCCAAAGCAGGCUCCAGGCUCUGAGCUGUCAGCACAGAGCCCGACGCGGGGCUCGAACUCACAGACUGAAAGAUCAUGACCUGAGCCGAAGUCGGAUGCUCAACUGACUGAGCCACCCAGGCCCCCCUCCUAAUUCAGUUCAAACCUGGAGUUGGCAAACUUUUUUUUUUCUUUUGAAGGGCCAGAUAGUGAAUGAUUUAGGUUUCGAUGUGCACUAUGAUCAAAAUCGCAUAUAUUAGGUAGGGACAUAGAGGAUAAAAGAGGAAGCGCUUGCCCCUCUGUGGUCCUGUUCGCUGUUUACAUUGAGGCACUCCUGCCUUCAGCUGGAGACGUUCUCUGGCUCUGGUGGGUCGGGCCUGGUGGGCAGGCAGGAGUGUGUGGUGCCCCGGGGAUGGGGAUGGGUGGGUGGGUGGCCCCUGUUCCCAGGGCAGGCGCUGCAGGUGGGAGAAAUUGGGACUGUGGCUUGCAGCGUUAGUGCACGGAGUAGUGACUGAGGGCCGUACACAAAGAGGCUUUGGUCUGGAUGUGGUCUCCUGGCUGGAGUUGGCCAAACUCCUGAUUACACAAACACCUAGAUGCCGAUGACUCCAAACUGAUAUUUCCGGUGUGAGUUGUCCCUGUUGUACAUUUCCCCUUAGCAUCUUGGUAGGCCCUUUAAAGAAAAGAUGUCCCAAACUCAUUAUAUUACCUUCUUCCCUCCACGCCCCAUUUCUGCAAAUGGCACCACUGUGCUCACCCAGCUGACUCGGGUCAGAAACUCUGCGUCCAUUUCUGACUCCUCCUUUCCUUCAUGCUUUUGCCUACAGUGACUGGACUAGAAGCCACGGAAAGGCCUGAACAGAUCUAGCUCAUGUUAAUAUUUAUAACUUCCUCUAGAGGGCCUGACACACAGUAGGCUUCUAAAACUUGGUUGUUUAAUUAAUCUACCCAACACCAAACGUAAAUGAUUCUUCCUGAUCAUCUCAUUCCUCUGUCAACAUUUAUCCAUGGCUUUCUGUUGAAUAAAGAAUAAGCAUAAAAUGUUUGCAGACCAUGCAAAAACUUUUUCUGUUUGGACUGUGCCUCCCCUAAGGACUGAUGAUACAGAAUUAUGUCACAGGCACUAGUAUCUCUCGUACUUGAUGUCUUCAGGCAGUGCUGUUCCCUCCGCCCAGAGUGCUUCUCCACUGGAUUUCCAUGUCCUUCCAGACUUGAGUCUGUUAUCUGCAGGAAGAACCCCCAGGUACCUUCCCAUUCAUCAGGUGUUUGUUCUCAUAGAGCCAGGCAGGGCUCCCCCCAACUCUACCACAAGACUUCGUUGGUGCUGAGAUUACUUGGUAAAUGCAUUCGCCCUUACUGGAUUAUACAUACAUCAAGGCAAGACUUUGUCUGUCUUUUUUCUGUAUCUUAGUUUGGCGCUUGGAACAUGGCUAAAAUGACACCUAAGUGUAUUUGAGAAACCUCAGAACGCCUUUUGCAUCCAUGUAGACUCAAGAGGGAUCUUUCUAGAGUCCACUGGACCUCUCUCAAACCUUCUGUUUGCAGCCAGAGAGAGCAGGUUACAAUUAGUCUGUGCUAGGGAUUGCUUUGUGUAGUGAAAGGCACUGGGGCUCCUAUUGGAAAGGAUUUUGGGGGGGGGGAGGGUAGGAGGAAAGUGCUUUGAAGCCCCAAGGCAUGGUCUUUGGUCUGGAAAUCCCCCUGGGUCUGGCUUUGUUGCACACAAGGCAAGGCAAUUGCAUUUACAAGUUACUUAGACACAAAGAGGCUGAGCCUGACUGGGGCAGCCAAUCGGAGCCAGCACCAAAGUGUAAAUUUUGUCCUGCAGUCACAACGGCAAUGCUCAUACGAUAUCAGAGAUGGCAAUGAGAAUCUUGAGUUAUUUAUUUAUUUUUUUGAGUUAUUUCUUUAUAUGCAUAAAAGAAAGACAGUCCAUAAUGAUCAUCGUAAUCAAUGAUUGUAAUACCCUCUAUGCGCAUGUCAAUAUUAAACAGCAAGAAGGACGCCUGACUGACUCAGUCGAUAGAGUGUGCGUCUCUUGAUCUCAAGGUCGUGAGUUUGAGCCCCUUGUUGGGUAUGAAGCCUACUUAAAAUAAAACUUAAAAAAAUUAUAUGACACGAAAUCAAGCAAUAUAUUACCUAGUGUCUCUUUUUCCUUUCUGAGCUCUAGGUAGGUGGAGAAUUACAAAUAGAAAAAGUGUAAGAGAUAAUUAUAUCAUUGCAAUAAUUUAGAAAAUCUGAAACAAAGCCUGGUGGCAGUGGCCUUAGGGGGAAUGUAAUACCAACUAAGUUAUUUGAAUAUAAGCAUGAUGUUGUUUAAUGCAUCCAUCAUGUAAUUAGGCAUCAUUAAGAAUCUUUCUAACAUACAGUGAUAAUUGAGAUAAUAAUGAAGGAAAAGAGAUAGUAAAGAUUAUAGACAUUUGGAAGAAAGUUGCUCUUUUGAAUUUAAUAAGGAAUAUAAUAAAGUACCUGAGGGCAUUGUAAGAGUCCAACAGGGGGUUGAGCUUCAGGGAUUUGUGAAUUUUUUUUUUUUUUACGAAUACAGUACUGUACAUGUAUUUUCUCUUAUGAUUUGCUUAAUAAUUUUUCUUUUUCUCAAGCUUACUUUAUUGUAAGAAUGCAGUCUAUAAUACAUAUGCAAAGUAUGUAUUAAUCAACCUUAUGUUAUCAGCAAGGCUUCUGGCCAACAGUAAGCUAUUCAGUUAUGGGAGAGUCAAAACUGAUAUGUGGUUUUUUUGACUGCGUGGGUUAGCGCCCCAACCUCUGUGUUGUUCAAGGAUCAACGGUACUCAGACUCUCCAGUUAUAUCCUUUCAUUAACCACAAACGCCUGGCAGUUAGAUGAAUUUGGGUUAUUAUCAGAGAGGGAGGAAAAAGUAUAAAAUUGGGUGCAGAGAGAAUGCCUGCUUUAUGCCCUUCGCCCCUACUUUUCUUUCACCCCAGUAAAAGGAUGAAAAAUAUUCCAAAAGUUCCACUUCCAAAUUACUUAGAAAGGGGGCCUUUUAGUAACCAAAAACUCCUCCAAAAGGAUACAAUUAAUUUACAAAGCAAGACAACUUCCUAAGCUUUCCUAUCUUCCUGUUUCAUGAAAAAGAAAAUAAGACAUCAUGGUUUGAUCCAUAAUUAAUCACAUGAGAAUGUAAUUUAUUUUUGUCCUGAAAAUGUUGAUUUUGGGGGAAAGGAGAAGGUAGGGCUUUUUUUUUUCCUUUUUUCUCCCUGUCUCUCUCUCUCUCUCUCUUUUCUCUUUCUUUCUUGCUUUCCCUCUCUCUCCCUGUUUCUCUCUCUCUCUCUCUUUCUUUCUAACAUUAAGGAAGAAACUAGCAGAAAUAAAUGAAUCAUAAAAUUGUGGGCAAAUCAGACCACUGGAAUUAAUGAGAUUUCUCCAAGUAGAACUUUCUCUGAAGCCAGGUUUAGGCUCUGGGAAAAAAAAAAUAUGUGCGCUUGUGGGCUUUAAAGAUGAAAACUGUUUCCUCUGCACGGUAAUGCAGAAAAGGAUUUACCCCACCAAAUUUCCCCAGAGUCCUCACUAAUAAGAUAAAGUCAGCUGAAAAUCACUUUGCUCAGCAUAGACUGUGACUUCUGAAAGGCUCAUUGAAAUUAAUCAGUACAUUUCUGUCCUACACUGUCUUUAUGUUUCACAUCUAAGCAUGUUCCUUAGGACCAAGUGAGGAAGAGACAGUUUCCUCAUAGUCUUUGGCAGGUGUCAUUUACUUGCAAGGUGGGCUGACAGAGGCGGAGAGCAGCUCAUCUUGAAGGUUCUGUGUGUUGCUAGAGCUGACGUAUGUGAUGAGUGGGCAGACGAGCCUCUGUGAUCUACUUUCUUCAUUCUGCGUCAUUCCUCUCUGGAGUAUUUCACAGGGACGUCCAAGCCAGCGUGGAAGAAUGAAGGACCGCACCACCAGGCAGAAACUAAAGGGAGCAACCAGGAGAAAUGUGUCUUGUGUUGGAAGCUACGCAAAACGCCAGGAAGGUGGAGGCAGACCAUGGAUGCUGGUCAAUGAAAUGUGAAAAGGAGGAGCACAUGCCAAUCCCAGGCUGAGACAGUGAAAAGCCCUCGGGACUCUUUGGGCAGUUUCUUCCCCUGCCAUGGGGAAUGUGAAGGCCUCAUGUUGAGACAGAGGAGCCUCUGGAUCAAAGCCACUUGGAUCACCGUGUCGCUGCAUGGAGGACACCUGCCAUGGAGGAUGGCCUGGGCCCACGGCCAGACUAUGCAUGUGUUAUGUUAAACUAUGUAAGACUGCAUGGCUGUUGUUUACACAGCGUGAGCCAGCCUGCUCUAGCUGAUACUGAAAGGAUGCUGUAGGAGUGCUUUCUAGUCCCCUGGGAACACCUUGUGUUUUAUCACUUGUGAUAACAUGGGUAGUAAACACCAGUCUUGAGCUGUGGGGAAUCCUAGAUUUUUUUGGAUGGUAAGCUCUUAAAUUAUUAUUAGUGUGCAAGUGACAUUCAACUGAAGGAUAAAAUAGUGAGAAUAAGGUACAUAUUGAGGAGAAAAGGCCACAGUGGAAAAAACAACUCUGUUGAAGUUGAAUCCCAGUCUCCCACCCUUAUCUCUAUUCCUUUGAGUUUUAUAAUCUGCUUUCCAAGUCGGUUACCUCAUAAUUAAAAUAAGGAUCACACUCUCUGCUUUAUAGAAUUGCUGGGCGGACGUACUGGCAUAGGUCACUAAUGUGACCUUGAGAGAGAUACUUGAACUUUGUGAGCGUGAAAUUCUUUAUGUUUAAAAGGAAAGCAAUACCCACCUUGGGGGCUGUGGUGAGGACGCAUGAGAAUGUGUGCGUUCCGUGGUUUCUGGCACAUGCUAUAUGCUCAAUAAGGUUGAUUGCCACCAUGAGUUGAUAAGCAAACGUGUUGGGAUUUACUCUCCACAGUAGCAUCUCCAAGCACGGGGGCUUAUACCUCGAUUAAGGGCGUGAAGAGUUUUCCGUACCUCGGGCUCCACGUAGAGCUGGACAGUCUCAUUUUGCUGUUUUGUUAUUAGCAUGGAGUACAAAUAAAUAAAUGCCACUUUCCUUUCUUGUGUAUGAGCCCUAUCGUUCAGUGUUUUUAUAGACCAUUCUGAGUCUGUCUUGGGCUCUGCAUAGAGAGAAAUAGGCUUCAGGUUUGCUCUCAUCCUGGGGUGAUUCUGGCCUGGAGAGAAAACCCAGGCUGGAUUUUCUUAGACUUUUCAAGAAAGCAUACCCACCAUCUACACCUGUACUGUCAACUGGUUAAUUUUUAAACUAUCCUGAUCUGUUUUUACCAAAACCCACACAACAGAAAUGUAAGGCGGAGGGACACUUGGCUCUCCCACAUCUGCUGACAGCUUUUGCCGUCCUGGUUUGCUCUCCGUUUUCGACAGCCGAGUUCAUCUGAGAAGCAGAAGCACAAACAUCAAGUUAGCAUCUUGCAUACAUUACCCUGCGAUAAUUCACAGCACAAUAAACAGCUGUUAAUGAAGAGUCUCAGUGCAGAGAUAUCUGGUUUUAUGAUUUACUCGACACGACUAAUUAAAGAAAGAAAUCUUUAUUGCCUUUUAUAACUGUGCAGCCCCUUCACAUUUCUGUCUUUACGCAUUUUUUCCCCUUCAAGUCUGUGAGCGAUAUUGGCCCACAUUGGUUUGUGCUCCCGAUGGAUUACAGUGUAACUGGAUUCUCCUGUCUCUGCAACUACCUUUUUUUUUGCCAGUUCCCUACACUUCAGUCCUUUCACGUCUCAGAAGCUCCAACCCCUACAGCUGUCCUGGUCCCUCCACCAGCGAUCUGUUAAAGGAAGUAAUUUUAAGUUUGUAAUGGCUUUAUUAUAUGCUAAAUAACUGUUUGAAUGUGAACAAAUCACUUACCUCUUGGUGAAUUUCCUCAUCUGUGAAAUAAUGAGGUUUGACUAGAUCACCCUGGAAAACUACUGAGACUGAGGAUUCUAUGGCAACCCAGAAAUCAAGUCAAGAGCUUUAGGGCUUUCAAACCUAAGACUGGAGGGAGGUGAUGCUGAAUGUCACCAAAAUAAUUAAUUUCUAAUGGUAGAUCGUAUUAUCGUCAUGCCAAAUGUAUGGCCUUUUGGUGGAAUACCAGAAAUGCAGAAGACAUUGUUCCUGCCCUGAAGGAGUUUUUAGUUCAGCAGUGAAGACAUGUAUAUGACUAACUUUAUGUUAUAACAUUUAAUUAAAUUAAUUAACAUCCUAAUGGCGUCCCAAUCACAAUGGAUGAUUUACAUCCAUCUUAGUUAGCUAGAGUUUGAUAGAUAAUUAUAACUGUUUGCUUCAUCAAAAAUAGGAUCAUUUGGGAAAUUGAAAAAAAUGCCCGAAAUUGUUGCCAGCAUUCUAUUUAGAGAUUUGAGGUCUACUUGUUUAUUACAAAGAAAGUGGUUUACGUGUUCUCCAGAAACACACUAAGAUCUGACCUGUCCUCCAUUUUAAAUUUCCAGGAAGCAAAGGAGGUGGAGUCAAGAUAAAAGGAGACAUUUUAGUGGCUUUAAAACAACCAUUUCAUUUUGUGCACAGUUGUGUGUGGGUCAGGAAUUUCUAUAGGACUCAGCUGGGCGGGUCGUCUCGCUUCCACAGGGGGGCAUCUGGAGCUGGAGAAUCUACGUCCAUGGUGCCUUCAUGCACCCGUCUGGCUUCUCCCUGUUCCUCAGUCUCUGUUUCUCCACACAGUGUCUCAUUUUCUACAGCUUCUCGAUGUGGUUUGGGCUCCUCAUGGCAAGAUGGUCGAAUGGUAGUCUUCUCACCUGGUGACUGACUGGAUUCUAAGAAUGCAGGGAAGAAGUACCCCUUUCUUAAAGGUCAGGUCCAGGAACUGGCCUCACAUCACUUAUGUUAUACUCCAUUGGCCAGAGCUGGUGGGGUGGGGACACUCCUCUCCAUAGGAAGAGUGUCAAGGAACUCGGGCCGUCAUUUUUCUGCCACACACACUGGGGCACAUGAUCUACUAUGAAAUCAUAAUGCCUUGGUUUUUCAUUUGCCUCAUUUUUUAUAAGAAAUAGAAAUUAUAAAUAAAUU